GCCUAAAGUCUAAUAAUCUUAGACGUAGUUGGUGCUGCAUGCCUGCAUCAGUGUAGGGAAAAGGAUUACCUGCAAUCACCGUGUUAAUGUAAUAGUCAUUAUCAUCCACCCGAUCAAUAAUAAAUGGUUGAAAUUAAAAAUGUGUUUAAAUUACAAUGAUCAAUGAGAUUCGUCAGAUUGCUUUUAAAAAGCAGAGAUUAUUUACUAUGUGUAACUGCAUGCAGCAGACAAUCUGAAUCCUCAAUGUAGCACCCCAUAUAUUGCCACCUAUGAAGCCCCGAUACGUGACACGAUACCGAUACGAGAAAAUUUUCAAAAUUCUCGAUACGAUACGGCCGCGAUACGUUAUUUAAAAAUUAAAUAUAUAUAAAUGCACAAUAUACAAACAUAACUAAAAUCGAUAAUAAUAAAAAAUUAACAUUCAAAUUACUCAAAUUGAGCAAACAAUGAACAAUUACAUAUCUUAAGUUAAGUACUACCUAAUUUGCUUAUAAAAAAAUACGUACUACCCAAAGACACACUUGUAACAUCAUACUCUAACAUUCGAUAUUUAAGAGAAAACAUGAAUUGUAUCCGUCUCAUUUCCUACGUUUUUACCAUCAAAGAGCAUUAAUUGUCCGAUACUUUUCCGAUACGCGUAUCGGAGAAGUAUCCGACACGUACCGGUUAUAUUGUUUUUUAAAAAAUAAUAUUAAUUUCCGAUACUUUUCCGAUACGUGUAUCGGAGAGUAUCAGACGAGUAUCGGUAUCAAGUAUGUAUCGGACACGAUACUUCGUCAUCUUUAGAAUAUUGUGGCUUCACAGAUUGCCACAUGCAUAUAUAUAUAUAUAUAUAUAUAUAUAUAUAUAUAUAUAUAUANNNNNNNNNNNNNNNNNNGGAAGAAAAAGAAAGUCGUUCACUCAAUCUAAAAUUUAUACUAUAGACAUGCUUUUUGGUUUCUCACAUGUUCUUUCCACAAAAAGUAAUAGUAUUAAUUAGACACUCUUCCAUACUACCUUCGGUCAUUUUUAUAAGAAACGAUUGACUUUUUAAAUUUAUUGAAUAACUAAUAUAUCUAGUUCAUAAUAUAAAUUAGGUACGUUAAAUAUUGAAAGACUAAGAUGUGAAUUUUUUUUUUUUUUUUUAUAAAAAGGACCAGAUGUAAUAUUAAUUAUGAGCACAUUUUUAGUGAGCUCAAACUCAAAAUUUUGAUAUUCAAGACACAAAUAUCAAAAUAUGAGUCUGUUCAGAUCUGAGAUCUUGAUGGUAUGACUGUUCUGGGUCUUUGACUCUGAACUAUUUGUGGCUAAAUCCCACUAAUAGAAGGUGUUACUUACACACGGUGUCACAAUCAAGUCGGUAGGUGUCGAAGAUGAGAGAUAUUUAGAAUUAGACGUGACGUGACAUACCUAAUCUAGACCAUAAAGUAGACUUAUAUAGGUGGAUAAUUAGAGUUUUAGAGAGCUUAGUACAUAUACAUCCAUAUCGCUCAACUUGGUGGUUUAAAUUGACUCUACUUAAUUAAUUUUUUUUAUAUUACGUCACACUUUCUAAUUAUUUAAACAACUCAAUUACAUUUCUUAAGUAUCCAUAUUAAAAACUUUAAAACGAGUCUCACUAAUCUCACACUAUAGAGUCCAAAUUUAUGUUUUUAAUUCUAAAAGGUGAGAUAUAUCUUGGUUUCGAAACGGUAGAAUUACAAAGUGGAUAAAACAACUUAUGCAAAAUUGAUACGGAGGUCUACGUGUUCCAUCGAACAUUAAUUGUAUAUAUUUUAUGGCAUAUCCACCGUAUGAUCACUCAGUUAAAUAUGAAUUGGAUGACUUUUAAGUGAUCCAAUUCAAUUAACAAAUGAGUCGUGACCUAGUUGAAAACAAAAAACCAUUCCCUUAUUAACCAAUACAUAAAUGCUGUAUUGUAAGGUAAGAUAGUUGAUUAUACUAUUAAAUCAAAUCCGUCCUUGUACCAACAAAUUUAAUUAGAACCAUUCGGUUGGUAAAACUUGACAUAUUUCACAUUAAGUAUUGUACUACAUGCAUCAAAAGUCCAAGAAACAACCAUACUUUGUGUUUACAAUGUAACAGUGACUACUACUACUAUUGAUGAGAUGAAGGCAUGAAAUGCUUAAUAUUAAAAAUCAAUCAAUCAACCAAUAGGGAAAGAAAUAUCCCGAAAUUAAUGCGUUAAAGAUGUUGAAAGGGCAUGGAAUGGGGGGAUUUGGUGUGUCCCACAGUUGGUGACCAAGACAGAUACGAAAGUGAGAAAAAAACCAACCCACCGACCUACAUAGUAUGGCCGCCUUCCACUAUCUUAAUUUUCAACAUUAUUUAUUAUUCUUCGGUGUCAACUCUUUGGUUUUUAGAGCAUCCACAAUGGAGCUAUUCAUCUUUGAGUAUUUAAUUGGACCCUACGUGUACAUCAAUUAUUUAUAAUUUUUUAUUAAUACUCCCUCCGGUCCUUUUUAUAAGGAACACUUAGGGCAAAAAAUUUGGUCCUUUUUAUAAGAAACUUUGACCAAUUUUCAAAUGUUUUAAAUGUUCAAUUUCACUUAUGCCCUUAUUUAUUAUGAGAGAGAAUUUAAAAAUAAAUAAGUUAGUUGAAUAAAGAAUAAUUAAAUAAGGGUAUACAUGGAAUAAAUUAAAAUUUAUAAGAGUAUUAAAUGAAAAUAACUAUGUUAAAUGUACUUCAUUGGUCUGUGUGAUUUUUUCAAAGUGUUUCUUAUAAUAAGGACCGGAGGGAGUAGUACUUAAUAGGUACUCAAUCCCUCCAACCCAACACAUUUUAAAAAGUUUUAAAUAGGUCUCACUAAUAACACAUUUCUCCAAUAACUUUAUAUCAUUAUAAAUGGGUCCCACAAAAAUUAUAUAGGUACCACUUCUUAUUGUAGAAUUAGUACCUAAUAAGUACUCAUUUAUGUUUUGCUCCAAUGGUGAUACCUAUUAGGUACUAGUACUUAAAAAAUAAGUACUCAUCAUUGGAGAUGAUCUUAGAAGAAUGAGACCGAUAAUUGAAAUUUGUUCAAAAGUUAAGUGAAUUUGACUAUAAUUAUUAUUUUCAUGUAUAUUAUUAAUUACUUUAUUUUUGUAAUUGAUAUAUUAUUAAUUACUUAUUCCAAUCAAUUGGUUAUUUUUAAAGUUUUUUUUCAAUUUCGUAAAUCAAGUAUUCUUUGGCUAUGCCCACUCAAAUGAGUGAAUUUUUUUUGGCAAGUUUUAACAAUGCUGUAUGCUUAAGUUAGAAUUGAAUUCAAAACUUUAGUUAAACUAGAAGGGAUUCAUGUUACUGAUCGUUAGUUGAUUCAAUGGUAAUUGACGUUAGACUUGGGGAGGACCAUAAUUCGAUCUUCCGCAACUACAAUGAGAGAGAGCUUAAACCACUUGAUGUAAGAGCUGACUCCGAACUAGAUUAGACGGUUCAGUGUGUCGAAUACUAAUGAUGAAAAAAAAAUAAAAUAAAAAAGAUUUAUAUUAUCUCAUCUAAACUCUAUUAGAUAUUUUCAAAAUUAUUUUAUUACCAAAUUCAACGUUUCGACAUUAAUUUAUCAAUAUUAUUCUAUGCCUUUAACGUAGGAAUUAAGGGAACAAUAUCACAGUACUAGAUUACAAUUUUGUAUACAAUUAUUUGGUAUUAAUAAAUGUUGACAUACUGUUUCUAGUCUUGUGAAUAUUCAUUAUUUUUUGAAGAUGCAGUCUUGGAGAUAAGAAGAUACUCAAACGAGAGUCCCAUCCCCUUACUGCCAAACUUUGGAAUUAUGACAACUAGGCUCCAUAAUUUUGGUAUUUUAUAUUUAAAAAAAUAUUAAGUGGAAUUUUAAUUGUUAAAAUAAGACUUGCCUAAANNNNNNNNNNNNNNNNNNNNNNNNNNNNNNNNNNNNNNNNNNNNNNNNNNNNNNNNNNNNNNNNNNNNNNNUAAUACAAGGACGCUCGACAAACAUGUUCGACCCACCAACGGUCACAAUACCAACGCGUAUUGUAACGGCCGUUACCGGAAUGAUGAGCAUUAACUGCUCAUCAUGGCUCUCCAGCCGUUUUUCGGCAGUCACUUGAUGGUCAUUAAAUGCCAUCAAGGGCCUUGGCCCUGAGCUAUAUAUACAUAACUGAUUGCCAUUCACAAGGUACAUAUAAUUUAACACAUAAAACCUUCACUCCACACUUAACUGACUUGAGCGUUGGAGUGUCUGCAGCCAUACAACCCCCUCUGCUUCAACAGAGGCUUUCAAGAGCUAAAUACCAGCGCGGUUGCACGUUCUGAUCAAGUAUGAUCAAGACUAUUUAUAAAUUUCUAAGUCAUGUUUGAAUCAUUUUUAAAUCAAUUGCAAGAUUCAAAGAUACUAAUAAAUACUAAGUAUUUUACCCUCCUUGAGUCAAAAAAAUAGUCAAAAAAAGAAAUGAAAAAAAUACUCCAUCCCUCCCAAAUUAUAAGGGAAAAAAAAAUAAAAAUCACAUUUAUUAAGAAAACUGUCAAAAACAAUUUAAUUGUCAAUCAUUUUAGGUGUGGUCUAGUGGUGAGAGGUUUGGGUAGCAUUAAGUGCAGGAGGUCUUAGGUUCGAUCCUCUCUAGCUCUAUUGUAACAAAAAAAAUGAUAGUUUUUUUUUUUAAAAAAAAAUAUUUAUUAAGAAAAAGUAAAAUAUUUGUGUUAUAGACCGACCCAAAGUUCAUGGUUGUUUAUCGUACCUGGAUCAGGAAAUGCGCGUCUUCUGACUCAAACAGAUCAAGUCAUGGCUUUUUGGUCCGUCCUCGACCUCCUAGUUGUUUGGGCCGUGCUCGAUGUUGGGUCAACCUUAAGCCUAGUCCAAUACGGUUGCCACAUCGAUCCUGUUCCGUAAACACGACGUUGAUAGACAUUGUCCCAUAAUUAUUUGACUCCAAUGCU
RNAcentral lists this long non-coding RNA (4849 nucleotides) under Trifolium pratense (red clover). RNAcentral's name for it is "long non-coding RNA (TPRA_LNC001993)". The record is from RNAcentral. Lineage: Eukaryota; Viridiplantae; Streptophyta; Magnoliopsida; Fabales; Fabaceae.